CCUAGCCUGGGAACUUCCAUAUGCUGUGGGCAUGGCCCUAAAAAAAAAAGAAGGGGACACGGGUGAGGAGCAGGAUGCAGGGAAGGCUGUGGAUCAUGAGUUCAGUUUGGUGCAAUUUGUCAGAUCUGUCUCCACAUCCACAUGGAGAUGCUGAGUAGGCAGGUGGUUAUGUAACUAGAGCUGGAAGAGGAGUCAGCUGGUGAAACUUAUAAAGGAGAUCUUGGAGGGAAUGGAUGCAGCGGAGUGGAGGAGACGAUGAAGGGCCUGGGCCUCUUGGCACAGGGCACAGUGUGAGGGAGAUAAUGAAGAGCCUGCCAUGGAGCCCGAGGAGUGGCUUGGAGGUGGCACCGUGUUCCUUGCUGGGGCCUCUGUUGUGAGAUAACUCAUGCAAGCUGAGGUUAUCCGGCCCAGCUGAGGGAGGUAGGAUGACACUUGCAUGGCACUUCAUGGAUGAGGCAGCUCUGGCUCCAGCCACCCUCCUCCUCCUCCUCAGGUGACUGAUACAGAAGAAGGGCCAGGACAAAAGCUAGAAGAACUCCAGCUGUGAUAUUGUGUUUAUAAGAAAUGUAUAUUUGGUUUUCCUCUGGAAUCCUUGGAAUUUCCACAGUGAUUAGAAUGAUCAAGGUGUCUUUUGUUAUUCAAAACAAGCUCCUUUCAGUCA
Molecule: non-coding RNA, 661 nt
Organism: Sus scrofa (pig)
Lineage: Eukaryota; Metazoa; Chordata; Mammalia; Artiodactyla; Suidae
Source: RefSeq, a predicted model, not a curated record